GACGAACGCUGGCGGCGCGCCUAACACAUGCAAGUCGAACGGAGCUGAGAGAAGCUUGCUUUUCUUAGCUUAGUGGCGAACGGGUGAGUAACGCGUGAGUAACCUGCCCUGGAGUGGGGGACAACAGUUGGAAACGACUGCUAAUACCGCAUAAGCCCACGAUCCGGCAUCGGAUUGAGGGAAAAGGAUUUAUUCGCUUCAGGAUGGACUCGCGUCCAAUUAGCUAGUUGGUGAGGUAACGGCCCACCAAGGCGACGAUUGGUAGCCGGACUGAGAGGUUGAACGGCCACAUUGGGACUGAGACACGGCACAGACUCCUACGGGAGGCAGCAGUGGGGGAUAUUGCACAAUGGGGGAAACCCUGAUGCAGCGACGCCGCGUGGAGGAAGAAGGUUUUCGGAUUGUAAACUCCUGUCGUUAGGGACGAUAAUGACGGUACCUAACAAGAAAGCACCGGCUAACUACGUG
This 468-nucleotide ribosomal RNA is filed under the name uncultured bacterium. RNAcentral's name for it is "partial 16S ribosomal RNA". It matches the Rfam family "Bacterial small subunit ribosomal RNA", at positions 28 to 507 of the family's 1533-position model. The record is from RNAcentral.